UAAGCGACUAAGCGUACACGGUGGAUGCCCUGGCAGUCAGAGGCGAUGAAGGACGUGCUAAUCUGCGAUAAGCGUCGGUAAGGUGAUAUGAACCGUUAUAACCGGCGAUUUCCGAAUGGGGAAACCCAGUGUGAUUCGUCACACUAUCAUUAACUGAAUCCAUAGGUUAAUGAGGCGAACCGGGGGAACUGAAACAUCUAAGUACCCCGAGGAAAAGAAAUCAACCGAGAUUCCCCCAGUAGCGGCGAGCGAACGGGGAGGAGCCCAGAGCCUGAAUCAGUGUGUGUGUUAGUGGAAGCGUCUGGAAAGGCGCGCGAUACAGGGUGACAGCCCCGUACACAAAAAUGCACAUGCUGUGAGCUCGAUGAGUAGGGCGGGACACGUGGUAUCCUGUCUGAAUAUGGGGGGACCAUCCUCCAAGGCUAAAUACUCCUGACUGACCGAUAGUGAACCAGUACCGUGAGGGAAAGGCGAAAAAGAACCCCGGCGAGGGGAGUGAAAAAGAACCUGAAACCGUGUACGUACAAGCAGUGGGAGCACGCUUAGGCGUGUGACUGCGUACCUUUUGUAUAAUGGGUCAGCGACUUAUAUUCUGUAGCAAGGUUAACCGAAUAGGGGAGCCGAAGGGAAACCGAGUCUUAACUGGGCGUUAAGUUGCAGGGUAUAGACCCGAAACCCGGUGAUCUAGCCAUGGGCAGGUUGAAGGUUGGGUAACACUAACUGGAGGACCGAACCGACUAAUGUUGAAAAAUUAGCGGAUGACUUGUGGCUGGGGGUGAAAGGCCAAUCAAACCGGGAGAUAGCUGGUUCUCCCCGAAAGCUAUUUAGGUAGCGCCUCGUGAACUCAUCUCCGGGGGUAGAGCACUGUUUCGGCAAGGGGGUCAUCCCGACUUACCAACCCGAUGCAAACUGCGAAUACCGGAGAAUGUUAUCACGGGAGACACACGGCGGGUGCUAACGUCCGUCGUGAAGAGGGAAACAACCCAGACCGCCAGCUAAGGUCCCAAAGUCAUGGUUAAGUGGGAAACGAUGUGGGAAGGCCCAGACAGCCAGGAUGUUGGCUUAGAAGCAGCCAUCAUUUAAAGAAAGCGUAAUAGCUCACUGGUCGAGUCGGCCUGCGCGGAAGAUGUAACGGGGCUAAACCAUGCACCGAAGCUGCGGCAGCGACGCUUAUGCGUUGUUGGGUAGGGGAGCGUUCUGUAAGCCUGUGAAGGUGUGCUGUGAGGCAUGCUGGAGGUAUCAGAAGUGCGAAUGCUGACAUAAGUAACGAUAAAGCGGGUGAAAAGCCCGCUCGCCGGAAGACCAAGGGUUCCUGUCCAACGUUAAUCGGGGCAGGGUGAGUCGACCCCUAAGGCGAGGCCGAAAGGCGUAGUCGAUGGGAAACAGGUUAAUAUUCCUGUACUUGGUGUUACUGCGAAGGGGGGACGGAGAAGGCUAUGUUGGCCGGGCGACGGUUGUCCCGGUUUAAGCGUGUAGGCUGGUUUUCCAGGCAAAUCCGGAAAAUCAAGGCUGAGGCGUGAUGACGAGGCACUACGGUGCUGAAGCAACAAAUGCCCUGCUUCCAGGAAAAGCCUCUAAGCAUCAGGUAACAUCAAAUCGUACCCCAAACCGACACAGGUGGUCAGGUAGAGAAUACCAAGGCGCUUGAGAGAACUCGGGUGAAGGAACUAGGCAAAAUGGUGCCGUAACUUCGGGAGAAGGCACGCUGAUAUGUAGGUGAAGUCCCUCGCGGAUGGAGCUGAAAUCAGUCGAAGAUACCAGCUGGCUGCAACUGUUUAUUAAAAACACAGCACUGUGCAAACACGAAAGUGGACGUAUACGGUGUGACGCCUGCCCGGUGCCGGAAGGUUAAUUGAUGGGGUCAGCGCAAGCGAAGCUCUUGAUCGAAGCCCCGGUAAACGGCGGCCGUAACUAUAACGGUCCUAAGGUAGCGAAAUUCCUUGUCGGGUAAGUUCCGACCUGCACGAAUGGCGUAAUGAUGGCCAGGCUGUCUCCACCCGAGACUCAGUGAAAUUGAACUCGCUGUGAAGAUGCAGUGUACCCGCGGCAAGACGGAAAGACCCCGUGAACCUUUACUAUAGCUUGACACUGAACAUUGAGCCUUGAUGUGUAGGAUAGGUGGGAGGCUUAGAAGUGUGGACGCCAGUCUGCAUGGAGCCGACCUUGAAAUACCACCCUUUAAUGUUUGAUGUUCUAACGUUGACCCGUAAUCCGGGUUGCGGACAGUGUCUGGUGGGUAGUUUGACUGGGGCGGUCUCCUCCUAAAGAGUAACGGAGGAGCACGAAGGUUGGCUAAUCCUGGUCGGACAUCAGGAGGUUAGUGCAAUGGCAUAAGCCAGCUUGACUGCGAGCGUGACGGCGCGAGCAGGUGCGAAAGCAGGUCAUAGUGAUCCGGUGGUUCUGAAUGGAAGGGCCAUCGCUCAACGGAUAAAAGGUACUCCGGGGAUAACAGGCUGAUACCGCCCAAGAGUUCAUAUCGACGGCGGUGUUUGGCACCUCGAUGUCGGCUCAUCACAUCCUGGGGCUGAAGUAGGUCCCAAGGGUAUGGCUGUUCGCCAUUUAAAGUGGUACGCGAGCUGGGUUUAGAACGUCGUGAGACAGUUCGGUCCCUAUCUGCCGUGGGCGCUGGAGAACUGAGGGGGGCUGCUCCUAGUACGAGAGGACCGGAGUGGACGCAUCACUGGUGUUCGGGUUGUCAUGCCAAUGGCACUGCCCGGUAGCUAAAUGCGGAAGAGAUAAGUGCUGAAAGCAUCUAAGCACGAAACUUGCCCCGAGAUGAGUUCUCCCUGACUCCUUGAGAGUCCUGAAGGAACGUUGAAGACGACGACGUUGAUAGGCCGGGUGUGUAAGCGCAGCGAUGCGUUGAGCUAACCGGUACUAAUGAACCGUGAGGCUUAACCU
RNAcentral lists this ribosomal RNA (2901 nucleotides) under Escherichia coli DEC7A. Its description in RNAcentral is "bacterial LSU rRNA". It matches the Rfam family "Bacterial large subunit ribosomal RNA". The record is from RNAcentral. Lineage: Bacteria; Pseudomonadati; Pseudomonadota; Gammaproteobacteria; Enterobacterales; Enterobacteriaceae.